RNAcentral lists this non-coding RNA (24 nucleotides) under Arabidopsis thaliana (thale cress). Lineage: Eukaryota; Viridiplantae; Streptophyta; Magnoliopsida; Brassicales; Brassicaceae. The record is from RNAcentral.
AUAGCAGGGAUACCUCGUUCCCCA